GCGGAGGAGCAACUCUGUGUCCAGCUUAGAGAACUGGAAGAAGCCGCAACCUUCCACCUGCUGGAGGGUGGAGGAUGGAUGGAGCCUGGAGCCUGGGUCACUACCUCGCUGCGGUUGGUAGUGGCGAUAGAGCAGUAGGAGAGCGGUCAGCAGCAGGAGCUUCUCCUGCCAGGCUGGAGGACUAGAAGGAAGAGGCACUGCCACAUGCUGGAGGCUGGAACCUGUGCCACCAUGGCUUGCCUCGCUGUGGUUGGUGGUGACGUCGGAGACUGCAGCUUAGCCACAGUGGUAGAAACGUGAUGGGGUAGCUGCUCCAAGCCAGGCUGAAGGAGGAGAAGGAGGAGUCGCCUGUGGUACGGUGGAGCAGAUGACGUGGCUCUGCAGCUUGCCUCAUGCAGUUGGUGGUGGAGAUGGAGACCACAGCUCGACUGGAGCGAGUAUUGUCAUCUGCAUGAGCAAAGGGUUCAUCACCACAUCUUUGCAAGAGGAAAAAGAAAGGGGAAGAAUCAUGUGUCUAAUGUUGUAAGGGUCUUGCUCUGUCACCCAGGCUGCAGCGAUGGAAUGAUCAUAGCUCACUGCAGACUUGACCUCCUGUGCUCAAAUGAUACUCCUGCUCAAAUCAGCCUAGGUUCAUAUGAGUCUCCCAAGCAGCAAGGAUUCAGCUUCAAGUUUUGAUGGCUUAUUUUCGUAUAUGUAAGUUAUAUUCUUUAAAUGUUGAUGUCAAAUCUAUUAAACUUUUUUAUUAUAGUCA
This is a long non-coding RNA of Homo sapiens (human), 751 nucleotides long. Ensembl annotates it as CCDC144A N-terminal like (pseudogene). Its record names the gene CCDC144NL. The record is from Ensembl. NCBI's taxonomy places the organism in Eukaryota, Metazoa, Chordata, Mammalia, Primates, Hominidae.